Long non-coding RNA from Triticum aestivum (bread wheat), 3386 nucleotides. RefSeq lists it as uncharacterized. The record is from RefSeq and is a predicted model, not a curated record. NCBI's taxonomy places the organism in Eukaryota, Viridiplantae, Streptophyta, Magnoliopsida, Poales, Poaceae. The transcript is spliced from 2 exons.
UCUUCCGGCGGCCGCCCGGUCGUCUUGUUCUUGCUUUGCGUAGAUCUUUUAGCUUUUUUUCUACCGGUCUUAUCUUCUUGGCAGUUCGAUUCGUUUCGUUCGUCUGAUGCAUCCCCCGUCAGAUCUGUCACUUUCGUUUUAUUAUGUGAUUGAUGUUGCUGCCCUGUUCUAUUCUCUUGGGCUUCUCUGUUGAAUUCUUGAUGUAGAUGGAAGUGAGGAUCCUUUCCCCAGCUGAUCGACUAUGAUUAUACUGUGCGCAAAUGUAAUCCUUUAUCAGAGGAUUCCAAGCCAGAAAUCUGAUCCAUCUCAUCGAACUGUCUCUGCUCCUCCCUUUGUUGUAUUUUCUUUCUUAUUUAUUUGUCGUGAAAUCAAAUUGAAUGGACGUGAGGAUCCUUUCCCCAAAUGAUCGACUAUGAUUAUACUGUGCGCAACUGUAAUCCCAUCAGGAUUCCAAGCCAGAAAUCUGAUCCAUGGUUCUUCCAUAUUUUAUUCCUGUUCUUCGAUUUUUGUUUAUUGUUAUUAUCGUUCUAAAUUUGGAUGGACGUGAGGAUCCUUUCCCCAAAUGAUCGACUAUGAUUAUACUAUGCGCAAAUGUAAUCCCAUCAGGAUUCCAAGCCAGAAAUCUGAUCCAUCCACUUUAUUAUUAUUUUCCCCAAACUAAUUUUUCUCUUAAUGGAAGUGAGGAUUCUAUCCUCAAAUGAUUGACUAUGAUUAUACUGCGCGCACAUCUAAUGUGAAGCGCUGCACAAUGAGAGUUCUCAAUCUCAUGCUUUGAUGCUACAGAAUGAUUCAUCGAGCAUCGAAAUUACUUAAUUGAUUCAAAAGCUAAUGGAAAAUCUCAGGAAAAGCAGCUCUAAUGUGUUGUAUCCAGUUUGUUGACCUUGAGUCAUGUUGAACCUUAGAGUUGUACGAAAUGAUCCGACUGAUGGAAACUAGUUUACUUCAGUGGGUGCACGGUUUUGCUAAAUCAGUUUAUUUCGGUUUGCAUCCAUUCAGGUUUGGAUACAGGAAUUGUUCUCACUGUGAUUCUGCACUCAAAUUGUAUGCACAGUAGUUGUUUUAAGGUUGACCAUGUGUAUUAUACACUAAUAAACUGUAACAAGUAAUUAUAUUUCCAUGAAUCAUUAUUUUCCAAGGGAUGUACUCCCUCCGGUCCUUUUUAGUUCGCAUAUAAGAUUUAACCUCGUAAACUUUGACCAAGUUUAUAGAAAAAUAUACUAGCAUUCAUAAUGCGAAAUCAACAACAUUAGAUGCGUCAUGACUUUAAUUUUCAUAUUGUAUAAAUUUAGAAAUUUAGAUGUUAAUAUUUUUUCAUAUAAAUAUGGUCAAACUUCACUUCAGACAAUUCUUAUAUGCAAAGUAAAAAGGACCGGAGGGAGUGUUAUCUUACUUUAUUCUGGUGAGGUCGAUUUGACCGCUGGAUAUUGAUUCAUGGUGUUAGCACUGAUGCCUUUUCUUUCAUUCUCUUCUGUUGAAUUCAUUAUUGUUUAUUGUCAUUCUUGUGAUGUGAUGGUGAUUCAUAUAGGUUUUUGGCAGUGGUGGCAUUUGUCACCGUUAGCUUUUACUUAUCUUUCCACUGAGCAGUGCUUCCAGAUUUCAUAAUUUUUAUUGUUUAUUUUGUCUCUGUUUUUCUCUAAUGUUACUUUGUCUGCUGUGCUGCGAUUCAGUCAAUAGACAGAGCUUACUUAACUAUAAUAUUUGCUGUGGAUGUUUGGGGAAAUCAAUUGUGAUUAUGAUAGAACCAAGGCUUGUUUCUCGAAACAUUUGCAGAUGCCGCCUUCAGGGUUUUCACCCUGCCAGGCUUUAGAGAUGAUGAUCCUUUCUGGUGCCUCUAUCUUUUUGCACACAAACAUUUUCACAAGUGCUGGAGUACAAUGUACUAGACAUGUUUAGCAGAAUGAUAGUUUCCCUAUCCAAAUUAAUCUAUUUUUUUGUUGCUUAUUUUUCCUUUCUUUCUGUCGUGUGAAUAGAAUUGGAUAUUGUUGACUGGUGGUGAUUCAGGUCCGAAAGGAUCUUAGCAUAUUUCUGUGACGCGGAUUCAUCCGCCAUUUAUCGAUUCAUGUUUUUACACAGACUGAAGCCUUUACCUUCCAUCAUCUUCUGUUUAUUUCAUUUCCGUUUCCUCUGAUUUUGUGAUGUGGUGAUGAUUCAUAUAGGUAUUUGGCAGUGGUGGCAUCUGUCACCAUGAGCCUCCAAACCAAAAAACGACUUCUCUUUCCACUGAGCACUGCUUGAAGUUGUCAUUCUUUCCUUUUUGUACUACAUCUUGUCCCUGGGAAGAGCACUAGACCAGGAAGUGCCGUAUGACACUGUAAACAGCAGCCGCUUCUCUGCUUCUGCAAGUGUCCAUUCCUGUAUCAUAACCUCUGUGGUUUGCUCUGGGAUGGAAUACCAUUUGCACCGGCCUGAUUCAGCUGUGUGUGUGAUUUGAAACGGGUCUCUGAGGGACUAAGCAAUGAUGUCUGUUCUCUUUCAACCUUUCUUUUUUUCCUGUUUUCUUGGGCCCGAUGCCACGUCUCAGGUAGCAACAUGCCUUUACCGGAGAUGCUACAUUGUGCCAACAAAGAUUUUCACAUUUGAUAGGAACCUGUGGCUGUGAUUCAGUAGGUACACAGAGCCGUUUUUUGUGAUUACACGUAUUGCCUCGCUGUAAUAAUUUUUGUAGUUUUUCUAGGAAAUCAAUGGCAAUGAUGAUAGAACUAAGGCUUGUUUCCCAAAACAUUCGCAGAUGCCGCCUAAGAGCUUUCGCCCUGUCAGGCUUGAGAGCUAAUGCUGCUAAUUCCUUCCUUGGAUGUCUGAGCCAUGAUGAUUUCCCUAGUUUAUUUUGUUGUUUUUGUUGCAUCUGAUCUUUCUUGCCGAUAUAUUUCACUCUCUCAGGGAACUGGUUGACAAAUGGUUGGCCUUACCUUUGGAAUGUUAAUACGGUAUAAUAAUUAUCUCAUGAUGGUCUAUCAUUUACUGUGGUAAAUAUAAGCUGAAUUUUAGAUUCUUUUGAUGUUAAACAUUAUUAAUCUUAAAUAGGGUGGCAACUGUUGUCUCUCUAUUCAUUGUUCUUUCUUUGUUAGUUGUCUAAUUCGGAUCUUGGAUGGAAAUCCAUGGAAGCAGGUGAUGACACCAAGACAGGGACAUCAGAACCAUGUAAUGGGUAUGAUAGACCAAGUCUAUAAUGGGAAUCUCUCUGAUGUUAUCCGUUUUCCAAGCCUAUGCGAAUUUUAGUUAUUUUCUUGCGUCUGCUUUGAUUGUCAGCACCAGUGAGGCAGCUUUUCUUAGUUUAUCAUUUUGUUUGGGAUUUUGUUGGUGCUAUCAGCUUGGUUUAGUAAGUUGGUUGGAGCAAACUGCCGGUGAUGGUGUUAAAUAUACUUUGCAGCGUUUUGCUUUGAAAUGAA